Long non-coding RNA from Haemorhous mexicanus (house finch), 5037 nucleotides. RefSeq lists it as uncharacterized. The record is from RefSeq and is a predicted model, not a curated record. NCBI's taxonomy places the organism in Eukaryota, Metazoa, Chordata, Aves, Passeriformes, Fringillidae. The transcript has 3 exons.
CCGGCAUGCCCCGGGUCGCCCCGGCCGGGCGGCGUCGGCGCACUGCCCUCUCCGGAGACACCGGAGCGUUUCAGCGGCCGCUGGGAACUUGCUGACUCUUCACAUUGCGCGCACAGGCGGGAGCGGCGAGUGCGGCCGGACAAGGCGCCUCUGGCUGACAGGGAGCGAGGGAGGGAGGACCAGAGGAACAGACGGUGAACAGGCACCCCAUGCUGCGGGGCGCCGAACAGGGUAGCUACUUGUUUAUCUCGCCAGCUGCCAUUCACGGUCCGGCUCCGCCUCCCUGCGGGGUGCUGCCCCGCCGUGCGGCGGGCGGGGCAGGGCGGGGCCAGGCCAGGCCGGCCCCUGCGCUGUGGCGUUGCGGGUCCAUGUUGGAAGCGGGAGGUUUUGUAGGUUUCGCGCCGUCGGAUGCUGCUGAAUAAACCGAUCGCUUACAGAUCGGGGCUCAUGCUGUCUGUGCGCUCACAUACAAACCAGGCGUAUGGUUGCGUCUUUAGUAUCCGAUGCCGUAGCAAGGCUGUGUCCCUUCAGCCCCGAGCAGAGAUUUUUAGACAAACGCGGCGCUGCUUUGGGGUUCGGAUUUCAUCAAAGUAUUUUGAGAUCGCAGAAACAUUCAGGCCUUUUGAUGUUACGUCUCGGUCUCUCGAAGAUUGUUUUGUGAGGAGCGUCACUCUGCAAGCUUUCUUGCGUUAUGGAAGUGCCAAGCAGAGGUAACUAUAUGAAGAGUCACACAGAAUCACAGAAUCAGGCUGGAAAAGGCCUCUGAGGUUGAAUCCAGUCUAUGACAAAACACCACCAUGUCAACUACAGACCGUGGCAUUAAGUGCCAUGUCCAUUCUUUCCCUAAAUAUCUCCAGAGAUGGUGACACCACCAAAUCUCCAGGCAGUCCAUUCCAAUGUCUAAUGACUCUGUCUUUAAAGAAAUUCUUCAUAAUGUCCAACAUAAACCUCCCGUGGUGCAGCUUGAGAUAAUCACCUCCCAUCCUCUCACCUGUUGCUGGGAGAAGAGGCUGACCCGCACUCACAGCUUCCUUACAGGGAUUUGUAGGGAGUGUAAGGUCAACCUCACCCUGACCUUAUACAACCUGCAGGUUACAUCCCACUCUAGAAGCAAAGGACAAUCCCCACCUUGUGUGUUCAACCUUAGAUUACUCCUGCCAGCAGCAAGUGAAUGAAGCAGAAUUAAAUUAGAGGAGCGGAGAGUAAAAAUGGCAUCUCUCCAUACACAGAAACUAUCUCAGUUCAUCACCUGCUCUGCCAGCAUUACUUACCACAAUGGAAAGUUUUUCCACAUGCUGGAUGGGAGGGGUAGAGGAGCUGAUGAGAAGCUGUCAUUGCUGACAAAGCACAGGGAGGUGUCAACUGCACGAUAAGAUACGGUGCUAUAUAUGAUUACUAGUGCAUAGCUAAGUCAUGAGGUCAUAGCCAGAAGUUUGUUUCUCAAGGAAAGGCAGGAGUGUAACCAUUUUGAGAUGAUUAUUUCUUCCAGAAGGCAAUAGAUGAUUCAGAAAUUCCCUUGGGACAGGUAGCUAGCAACUGAAAUUCUCAGAAAUCUUCAUCACUCCUUUACCAAAGUAAUAUUUUCCAGAGAACUGCAAGUGCUUUGCUUUGCAGUUGCAGAUGUGGAUCUUUCUGAGCAAGGCCUGCUCAUGAGCUGGCAAUUUUCCUGAACAGGAGAAAGAACAUUGUUGAUCUUUCAGUGUCAACAUUAAAGACAUUUACUAAAAUUAGAGCUAACUAUUUAAAUUUUGCAAAGUGUUCACAUCUUUGGUCACCUAGUAAUCAAAACCAACACUGAGAAGAAAGGGGCAUAGACAUGAAAAAGAAAACUUAUCUGUAGAAGGUUAUUUUACCCAAAUUUAUUCUGGCAGUUUUAGCAUCAAUAGAAAUAUGGACUACCUUGCUGUUGGUAAUAAUAAACUCUUCAAGUAGUUCCCAUUGCUCUCUUUGACCAAGAAAAAUAUCCAUUAUUGCCCAUUUCCACCACUAAGGCAUUUGUUUUUACUCUUUCAAUUUUACAAUGUACUGACAAGACUGUCUUUUAUCAUAAUUCGUUUAAAGUCCACAGUGUUGGUGAGAGGGGGCUAAGAGCACCCUCAUUAUGGUAACCUGGCACUUGUAAGCCAAGGCAGUAUAAUUUCCCCUCCACCCUAUACUGUAAACAGCUCCCUAGUGUUGCAAGCAGCCAUUUUAUCCUUUCUUCUGUAAAUUAAUUGUGCUUUGCCAGUAAAUUUUUUGGCCCUCGCUGCUGCUGCUGGGAGGCUGUCUGAGAGAAACCUCUCUAACAGCUGGAAGCCUUUUAAAAAUGUUAAACCUGCUUUUCCUUGUGACCAGUACCACGUCCAUCUUUUCUUCCUGUGCAAAUACUGUCCUGAAGUAGCCUUUCCCGCUCUCCUGCAUGUACCCCUGCCAGAAGUAUUUAUAGACAGCAGUCUCAUCCCCACACAGCCUUGAUUUUGCUGGACUAAUAGAGCCAUGCUCUUCUCAUUCCCCUCGUGAGCCCUGCCAGUGAAGGCUGGACUGGUACAAAUCAGGUAGUGAAAAACACAAAAUGUGAUCUGUGUCCUGAUUCCUUCUCUCCUGACUCAGCCCUACUUCUACUUUCUGAAUCUGUAUGUUGGCCACACGAAAGCCACUAAAAGUGUAGAACCAAUUGAACAACUUCAAGCACAGGCCAGCUUGGAGGCCAGUAAGAAUAAGUCUGCUGUCUCAUUAGUGCAGAAGUUUUAUUAUGGUUGAAAGAUGGAAAUGGGCACAUUUGUUUCUUCUUGAGAUUGGAGUAUACGUGGAAAGGUGGAAAAAUCUGUUUGUGUGGGCACAGGCUGUCAGACCUGCUGGAAAACACCUGCCUGGCAUCUCCUCUCCAGGUGGUUCCCAGAGGAGAAGCAGCAGCAAGCAGCCAUUUACAGAGCAGUGACAGCAAAUUGUUUGAGAGAAAGAGACAGAAAAAUACUGUGACAUUUCCAUUGCUCUUCCAAGUUAAUGGAACAGUUGCGAUACCAGUAACACAUAUUUAAUAGCAUUCACAUUUUCUUUUAAAGUGUUUUACCAAUUGUAUUAUUCAUUUCUGGUCAGCAGAGAAAUGACUGUAACAUUUUUAAUAUGCAGUGCCAUAUAAUUUGUUAAUUAUGCUGAUGCAGAAAGUUUGAGUAGCCCUAGCAAAGAAAACAGAAAAUUAUGGGGUUGCAGAUUGCAAUCAGUACUUUUUUCAGCCUGCCAGCCUAAAUGAAGAUGCCACGUUGUCACUCAUUAGAAUCACCAUUUCUGCCAAAUCUCAAGUCACUGUGGUUAAAUUUCACUGGAGGUGAAAGAUAUACCAAGCAAGACUGAAAGCUGAGAAAUUGAGUAUCCUCACCAGCUCUCUAAAUAAUUCUCCAACACAGACCCAGUCUGAUACCAUGACAUCCAAACCAACCAUCCAUGACGGAAGUUUUUCUAUUGAUGGGUAAAUCUGUGGUAAAACAAGCUCCUCCAGUAACCCUGAGACGUCUGAGGAACUUCAGGAAUUUGGAUUCUACACAUAAUAACCUUGUGUAACAGAGAGAGUUUGAUGGAAGACAUGUGUUUCCCAGCUCAGGAGUCAGAAACCUCUGAGAAGAACCCUGAAGACAAACUAUGCCUGAAGCAAAAACAGCACUUCCUACUGAAAAUCAAGACACGAAGCAAACUUGAAGUACACCCUGUCUCAGAAAAGAUUUGACAAAACAUGACUCCCAGCUGCUCAGCAGCUCAAAACAACAGGACCAUUUUGUACUGUGGGCGGGAAGACUGCAGCAGGUCCUGUUAUCCUUGCCCUCUCUUGUCUGAGGGCACCUUGUACCAUCACCCUUGUUGAUAAAAAAUAAGGGAGUGGUAUAUCCUUUUUUUUUCCCAAAACACACUGUGUCAACUCCUGGUCCAGAGCAUUUCACAGUGUUCCUCACUGCCCUGAGUUCAAGCAGAUAAACAUGUGGCUGUGCUGUACAGGGCCUGCAGACCCUGCCUUCACACUACCUCAGUGAGAUGCCUGUUUGCUACUGCUACUGCAUUUAUGCAGAAAAUGCAGGAGCACUCAGCAACUGGUCCUAGGUGUGUCUCAGAUAGACACAAAUACCUUGUAGUCAUUUGCAUAAAGUCUCACAUACCGUGAGACAAUCAGUACAGGAGGGAACACAACCCCGGAAGAGCUGAACAAACCCAGUGCUCAGAAGCCAAAUUGUGGCUUGAAAGAAGAUGCAUUGGAGGUGGGGUUUGACAGGAAGCUACUCUUUUGUCUCACUGAUGGACUUAAGGUUUCUCUCAGAUCCAGUUGUGACUCUGAGGAAUUUAGCACACAAUACAGAGAAUAAGGAGUUUGUUGUCUCUAUCGUUUUUUGGACCAAUGUAGCUCCUGAGCUGUGUGCAGCAUGUAUUCAGAAUGUUUUCCACCUUUGUAUAGUCCUCCUAUUAUCAUCUGGCAAAAUUAACCAUUCUACUCUCAUACUAAGAAUGCUACUUCUGUAUUAUACAUUAUCUUAUAUAUUGUUAAUAAUCAUAUAUAAUCUUGCUUUCUUUUUUGAUACUAAUGUUUUCCAUUAAAUGCUCUUGUGUCAUUUAAAAAAUCCAUAGCUGUAUUAUCUACAAAUUGCCUCCUGUAUUAUGGCACUGUAAGAAACUGGGUGUUGGAAAUAAAAUGUUAAGCCACCCAAAGCCACUGCAGUUAAUCAUAUUUAACACUUGACUGAACUGGGCUCACCCAGAGCUUUUGGUAGAGUCCUGCUCAAGUCAUUCUGUACUAUUAUGUGACAGCCCAUUAAUAACUGCAGUUUCUAUUAAAGUUGGAUAUAAUUCUAAGAAGCCAAAGCUCUUUGUAUCUAGUUUCUUUGGUACAACAAGGCCUCUCAGAAGGGCUUAUCAUUUAUUUUUCUAUGACCUUCAGAUUGACUACUGAUCCUUAAUCUAUUUGCUUUUGAUUGGUACAUCAUCAUGAUAAGCUUAUGAGAGGACACUGCAGAGAGUAUGCUCUGCCGGUCAACCUCCAUAGUGAUGCCAUAGUUCUAACUGUCUUUUUAUUUACUG